RNAcentral lists this long non-coding RNA (337 nucleotides) under Bos taurus (domestic cattle). RNAcentral's name for it is "long non-coding RNA NONBTAT023501". Lineage: Eukaryota; Metazoa; Chordata; Mammalia; Artiodactyla; Bovidae. The record is from RNAcentral.
CUCCCUUCACUGCCUGCCUUUCUCCUUCUGACCCACCUCUCCAAAUUAUCCCUGUUGCACAAUUCACUUUAUCUAAACAUUUCAGUGUCUGUCACCUCAUGUUUUCUCCUUGCCCGGGCCAAGCCUAGAUGAAAUAAUGUGGGCAUGCCCCUCUUUAUCAAGCCAAGCCCACCUCUUAGCUCUCUCCCAAAUAUUUUACCUCAGUAUUCUCCUGCCUAUUCAAUUGCACAGCAGUCAGUUGUCGAGUAAAGGGUUGGCCAGAUGGUUUAGUGGAAGAAGCCCUUCCUUUUACAGAAGCAGCUGGCGAGCCCAGCUCAGGGAAGCUUAGUCUGCUGCC